Molecule: ribosomal RNA, 1853 nt
Filed under: Escherichia coli
Lineage: Bacteria; Pseudomonadati; Pseudomonadota; Gammaproteobacteria; Enterobacterales; Enterobacteriaceae
Description: partial 23S ribosomal RNA
Rfam family: Bacterial large subunit ribosomal RNA
Source: RNAcentral
GGGUUGUGAGGUUAAGCGACUAAGCGUACACGGUGGAUGCCCUGGCAGUCAGAGGCGAUGAAGGACGUGCUAAUCUGCGAUAAGCGUCGGUAAGGUGAUAUGAACCGUUAUAACCGGCGAUUUCCGAAUGGGGAAACCCAGUGUGUUUCGACACACUAUCAUUAACUGAAUCCAUAGGUUAAUGAGGCGAACCGGGGGAACUGAAACAUCUAAGUACCCCGAGGAAAAGAAAUCAACCGAGAUUCCCCCAGUAGCGGCGAGCGAACGGGGAGCAGCCCAGAGCCUGAAUCAGUGUGUGUGUUAGUGGAAGCGUCUGGAAAGGCGUGCGAUACAGGGUGACAGCCCCGUACACAAAAAUGCACAUGCUGUGAGCUCGAUGAGUAGGGCGGGACACGUGGUAUCCUGUCUGAAUAUGGGGGGACCAUCCUCCAAGGCUAAAUACUCCUGACUGACCGAUAGUGAACCAGUACCGUGAGGGAAAGGCGAAAAGAACCCCGGCGAGGGGAGUGAAAAAGAACCUGAAACCGUGUACGUACAAGCAGUGGGAGCACAGAGCAAUCUGUGUGACUGCGUACCUUUUGUAUAAUGGGUCAGCGACUUAUAUUCUGUAGCAAGGUUAACCGAAUAGGGGAGCCGAAGGGAAACCGAGUCUUAACUGGGCGUUAAGUUGCAGGGUAUAGACCCGAAACCCGGUGAUCUAGCCAUGGGCAGGUUGAAGGUUGGGUAACACUAACUGGAGGACCGAACCGACUAAUGUUGAAAAAUUAGCGGAUGACUUGUGGCUGGGGGUGAAAGGCCAAUCAAACCGGGAGAUAGCUGGUUCUCCCCGAAAGCUAUUUAGGUAGCGCCUCGUGAAUUCAUCUCCGGGGGUAGAGCACUGUUUCGGCAAGGGGGUCAUCCCGACUUACCAACCCGAUGCAAACUGCGAAUACCGGAGAAUGUUAUCACGGGAGACACACGGCGGGUGCUAACGUCCGUCGUGAAGAGGGAAACAACCCAGACCGCCAGCUAAGGUCCCAAAGUCAUGGUUAAGUGGGAAACGAUGUGGGAAGGCCCAGACAGCCAGGAUGUUGGCUUAGAAGCAGCCAUCAUUUAAAGAAAGCGUAAUAGCUCACUGGUCGAGUCGGCCUGCGCGGAAGAUGUAACGGGGCUAAACCAUGCACCGAAGCUGCGGCAGCGACACUAUGUGUUGUUGGGUAGGGGAGCGUUCUGUAAGCCUGUGAAGGUGUGCUGUGAGGCAUGCUGGAGGUAUCAGAAGUGCGAAUGCUGACAUAAGUAACGAUAAAGCGGGUGAAAAGCCCGCUCGCCGGAAGACCAAGGGUUCCUGUCCAACGUUAAUCGGGGCAGGGUGAGUCGACCCCUAAGGCGAGGCCGAAAGGCGUAGUCGAUGGGAAACAGGUUAAUAUUCCUGUACUUGGUGUUACUGCGAAGGGGGGACGGAGAAGGCUAUGUUGGCCGGGCGACGGUUGUCCCGGUUUAAGCGUGUAGGCUGGUUUUCCAGGCAAAUCCGGAAAAUCAAGGCUGAGGCGUGAUGACGAGGCACUACGGUGCUGAAGCAACAAAUGCCCUGCUUCCAGGAAAAGCCUCUAAGCAUCAGGUAACAUCAAAUCGUACCCCAAACCGACACAGGUGGUCAGGUAGAGAAUACCAAGGCGCUUGAGAGAACUCGGGUGAAGGAACUAGGCAAAAUGGUGCCGUAACUUCGGGAGAAGGCACGCUGAUAUGUAGGUGAAGUCCCUCGCGGAUGGAGCUGAAAUCAGUCGAAGAUACCAGCUGGCUGCAACUGUUUAUUAAAAACACAGCACUGUGCAAACACGAAAGUGGACGUAUACGGUGUGACGCCUGCCCGGUGC